AACGAACGCUGGCGGCAUGCCUAACACAUGCAAGUCGAACGAGACCUUCGGGUCUAGUGGCGCACGGGUGCGUAACGCGUGGGAACCUGCCCUUAGGUUCGGAAUAACUCCCCGAAGGGGUGCUAAUACCGGAUAAUGUCUUCGGACCAAAGAUUUAUCGCCUUUGGAUGGGCCCGCGUUGGAUUAGCUAGUUGGUAGGGUAAAAGCCUACCAAGGCGACGAUUCAUAGCUGGUCUGAGAGGAUGAUCAGCCACACUGGGACUGAGACACGGCCCAGACUCCUACGGGAGGCAGCAGUGGGGAAUAUUGGACAAUGGGCGAAAGCCUGAUCCAGCAACGCCGCGUGAGUGAUGAAGGCCUUAGGGUUGUAAAGCUCUUUUACCCGGGAUGAUAAUGACAGUACCGGGAGAAUAAGCUCCGGCUAACUCCGUG
RNAcentral lists this ribosomal RNA (432 nucleotides) under uncultured bacterium. RNAcentral describes it as "partial 16S ribosomal RNA". It matches the Rfam family "Bacterial small subunit ribosomal RNA", at positions 29 to 507 of the family's 1533-position model. The record is from RNAcentral.